UACGAAGGGGGCUAGCGUUGCUCGGAAUUACUGGGCGUAAAGGGCGCGUAGGCGGACAGUUUAGUCAGAGGUGAAAGCCCAGGGCUCAACCUUGGAAAUGCCUUCGAUACUGGCUGUCUUGAGUUCGGGAGAGGUGAGUGGAAUGCCGAGUGUAGAGGUGAAAUUCGUAGAUAUUCGGCGGAACACCAGUGGCGAAGGCGACUCACUGGCUCAUUACUGACGCUCAGGCGCGAUAGCGUGGGGAUCAAACAGG
RNAcentral lists this ribosomal RNA (253 nucleotides) under uncultured bacterium. RNAcentral's name for it is "partial 16S ribosomal RNA". It matches the Rfam family "Bacterial small subunit ribosomal RNA", at positions 524 to 776 of the family's 1533-position model. The record is from RNAcentral.